AAGGUUUAGUGAGGCGGCACCGCGCGGCCCGAGGCGGGUCUUGAAGCACUCGUUUUCCCACUCGUUUUCCGGGGUUCCCCCGCGGUGGGACAGUGAGCAGUUCAGGGCGCCGCAGCCGAGGCCUUCCUCCAGGUAAAUCGCCGGGCCUGCGGGGGCUUCCCACACGCGCGGGCGGGAGACGCGUUGCCUCCUACCUCAGUUUACCCGCCUUAGGAGCCGGUACCUUCGGCAAACGCUUUCCUGAAACCACGGGGGAACCGGCGCGAGGGACUCGACCCCUCGGAGCUACGAGAAUCAACUUCACAAGCUCAUGGGAGGGGAACCGCGCGCCUCCAGGUUACCCAUCUGUAAAAUGGGACCAUCAGCCUCACUCACAAGGCUCAUGGGAGGGUCCUGGACACCCUGGAGUUGUUCUCUACUCACCUGCUAUGAAUCUCUCAGCAAAUCCUUCGGACUUGGCCUUGCCUCCAAAAUACAGCCCAGAGCCACCCAUUGUCACCCCCAGGCUGUCACCACCCUAGGCCACAUCGUCCGUAUCUAUCUCAUGGAAGACUUGGACAGCGGCCUCUCUGCUAUCCUUUGCUGCAUUCUUUUGAAGCCCCAGGCUUGGUUCUGCACAUGGCCGCAGGCUGAGGAGUCUUUGAAAAAUAUAAUCAGCCAGACGCGGUAGCUCACCCCUGGAAUCCCAGCACUGCGGGAGGCCAAGGUGGGAGGAUCGCUUGAGCUCAGUUCAAAACCAGCCUAGGCAACAGAGCAAGACCCCAUCUCUACAAAAACACAAAAAUUACCCGGAUGUGGUGGUGCAAGCCUGUGGUCCCAGCUACUUGGGAGGCUGAGGCAGGAGGAUCACUUGAGCCCAGGAGGUUGAGGCUGCAGUGAGCUGUGACAGUGCCACUGCCACCAUCCUAGGGACACAGCAAGAACCUCCCCCAUAUAUAUACACAUAUAUACUUUGUUUUUAUCUAUAUAUAUACACACAGAUAUAUACAUACACGUGUGCAUAUAUAUGUGUGUGUGUGUAUAUAUAUAUAUAUACACAUAGACUGAAAAUGGAAAUAUCAAGGCCACUCAGUGCUUCCAGAGGGCUCUCAGCUGAACUUGGAAUAUCCUAAACCUUGUAUUCAGGUUUAUGAAGUCCCCUGAACUUGGCUCCCAUGCCCUGCUUUGUUCCCCCUUGCUCAUUGCUGUUCAGCCGCGUGGGUCUUUCCAUCCUUGGAGCACAAGCUCAUUCCAACCUAAGGGUCUUUGCACUUGGUCGUCUCUCUGCCUGGGACCUUGUGUUUCAGGUCUUACCUAGGUUGGAGUCCCAGCUCUGCACCUUUUUGAGUAUGAUCUAAAAGAGAGCGAGGAGUACUACAAUCUGUGGGCCAGAUAUAGUCUAUGAGCUAAAAAUGGUUCCUCCCUCCCUCCCCUUGUUCCCUCCCUCCCUUUCCUUCCCUUCCCUUUCUUUUAUUUAUUUUGGAAUCUAACUCUGUUGCCCACGCUGGAGUGCAGUGGUACAAUUUCGACUCACUACAACCUCCGCCUCCCGGGUUGAAGUGAUUCUCCUGCCUCAGCCUUCUGAGUAGCUGGCAUUACAGCUGUGUACUACUAUACCCAGCUAGUUUUUGUGUUUUUUUGUGGAGACAGGGUUUCACCAUGUUGGCCAGGCUGCUCUCGAACUUCUGACCUCAGGUGCUCUGCCCACCUUGGCUUCCCAAAGUGCUGGGAUUACAGGCAUGAGCCACCGCGCCUGCCGAUUUUUUUACAUUUUUAGCUGGUUGGGAAAAAAAAUACCAAAAGAAGAAUAUCUAUUGAUGUGAAAAUGGUGUGAAAUUUACAUUUCAGUGUCUGUAAAUAAAGUUUUAUUUGAAAACAGCCAAUGCUUACUCAUUUAUAUAUUGUCUCUGGCUACUUUUGAGCUGUGACAUUAGAGCUAAUUUUUUUUUUUAACAGAAACUUUUUGGCCAACAAAACUUAAAGCAUUUACUGUUUGUGUCUUUACAGAAAAAGUUUGCCAGUUCCUAAUCCAGGACACAUGUAUUUACAUGGUUGUUAAACUUUUCUGAACAGCCAGUGGGAUGUGGUAAAUAUUUAACAGCAGCUUCUCUGGAAGAGAAUGUAUUCGUUAGUAUGUAUUUAUGUGUGUGUAUAUAGUUUAUUGUAAAUUUUACUUAUUUUUCUAUCACUUUCUUAAGACCACAAGACAAUUAAUAAAACAAAUUGAACCCUGUUUUGUAGCGUCUGCUGAUUUUCUGGGUGUGAAUCCUUCAGCCAUGGCCUAUAUUGUUACUAAUGGGAUGUCACUAGCACCAGAGUUGGGAGGACAUGCGCAGUAGUAGCACACCAGAUUCUUUUUUUUUUUUUUUUUUUUCUUUUGAGGCAGAGUCUCGCUUUGUUGCCCAGGCUGGAGUGCAGUGGCGCGAUCUCAGCUCACUGCAACCUCUGCCUCCCGGGUUCAAGCGAUUCUCCUGCCUUAGCGUCCCCAGUAGCUGGGAUUACAGGCGCUCACCACCAUGCCUGGCUAAUCUUUGUAUUUUCAGUAGAGACUGGGUUUCACCAUGUUGGCCAGGCUGGUUUCGAACUCCUGACCUCAAGUGAUCCACCCACCUCGACCUCCCAAAGUGUUGGGAUUACAGGUGUGAGCCACUGUGCCCGGCCACACACCAGAUUUUUUUCAAGAACCUGACUUUCAGCCGGGCGCGGUGGCUCACGCCUGUAAUCCCAGCACUUUGUGAGGCUGAGGCAGGUGGAUCACGAGAUCAGGAGUUCAAAAUCAGCCUGGCCAGCACAGUGAAGCCCCGUCUCUACUAAAAAUACAAAAAAUUAGCCGGGUGUGGUGGCAGGCGCCUGCAAUCCAGCUACUCGGGAGGCUGAGGCAGGAGAAUCACUCGAACCCGAGAGGUGGAGGUUUCAGCGAGCUGAGAUCGCACCACUGCACUCCAGCCUGGGCAACAGAUGAGACUCUGUCUCAACAACAACAACAACAACAAAAACCUGCUACUUUCUCAGUGUGUCCCCACACCAGCAGCAUCAGCAUGACCUGGAAGCUUAUUAGAAAUACACAAUCUGGGCUGGGUGCGGUAGCUCACGCCUGUAAUCCCAGGACUUUGGGAGGCCAAGGCGGGUGAAUACUUGAGGUCAGGAGUUCAAGACCAGCCUGACCAACAUGGUGAAACCCCGUCUGUACUAAAAAAAUAAGAAAUUAGCCAGGUGUGGUGGUACACGUCUGUAAUCCCAGCUACUUGGGAGACUGAGGCAGGAGAAUUGCUUGAACCCAGGAGGCGGAGGUUGCAGUGAGCCAAGAUCACACCAUUGCACUCCAGCCUGGGCGACAGAGUGAGACUGUCUCAAAAAAAAAAAAAAAAAAAAUACACAAUAUGGCCAGGCGUGGUGGCUUACACCUGUAAUCCCAUCACUUUGGGAGGCUGAAGUGGGCAGAUUGCUUGAGCCCAGGAGUUCAAGACCAGUCUGGGCAACAUGGUGAGAUCCUGUCUCUGCAAAAAAUUAGCUAGUUGUGGUGGUGUUCACGUGUAGUCCCCAGCUACUCAGGAGGAUGAAGUGGGAGGAUGGCUUGAGCCCAGGCGUUGCAGGCUGCAGUGAGGUAGGAUGGCACGACUGCACUCCAGGCUGGGCUACGGAUUGUGACCUUGUCUCUAAAGAAAACGGUUAAUUUGAAACUUCACACCUGUAAUCCCAGCACUUCGGGAGGCUGAGGCAGGCAGAUCACAUGAGCCCAGGAGUUCAAGACCAGCCUGAGUGGGCAACAUGGCAAAACCCUGUCUCUGCCAAAAAUAGAAAAAAUUAGCCAGGCGUGGUGGCACACACCUGUAGUCCCAGCUACUCAGGAGGCUGAGGUGGGAGGAUUGCUUGAGUGCGGGAGACGGUGGCUGGAGUGAGCUGAGAUCACGCCGCUGCAUUCCAGCCUGGGCAACAGAGUGAGACUGCGUCUCGAAAAAAACCAAAGAAAGAAAUUCUCUAAGAGUAGCUCGAAUGUCAGUCCCCCUGGUCACCCACAGUGUGUAGAAUUCAGGUCAUCUGUCAUUCCUGGGGUGUUGGUUUCAUUAUUUUCAGGUUUCCCCAAACUUCUCUUGGGUAGGUCUUCUCAGCCUUUACCAUAUCUGCACGGUGUGACCUUUCAUGAACUUGAUACUUUUCUUUUUUU
RNAcentral lists this long non-coding RNA (4144 nucleotides) under Homo sapiens (human). RNAcentral's name for it is "non-protein coding lnc-CAPS-2:6". Lineage: Eukaryota; Metazoa; Chordata; Mammalia; Primates; Hominidae. The record is from RNAcentral.